UGGGGAAUUUUGCACAAUGGGGGAAACCCUGAUGCAGCCACGCCGCGUGAGCGAAGAAGGCCUUCGGGUCGUAAAGCUCUUUUAUGAGGGAAGAUAAUGACGGUACCUCAAGAAAAAGCCCCGGCUAACUACGUGCCAGCAGCCGCGGUAAUACGUAGGGGGCUAGCGUUGUCCGGAAUCACUGGGCGUAAAGGGUUCGCAGGCGGAAUAACAAGUCAGAUGUGAAAGGCAUGGGCUCAACCCAUGUAAGCAUUUGAAACUGUAAUUCUUGAGAAGUGGAGAGGUAAGUGGAAUUCCUAGUGUAGCGGUGAAAUGCGUAGAUAUUAGGAGGAAUACCUGUGGCGAAGGCGACUUACUGGACACGAAUCUGACGCUGAGGAACGAAAGCGUGGGUAGCAAACGGG
RNAcentral lists this ribosomal RNA (404 nucleotides) under Verrucomicrobiota bacterium. RNAcentral describes it as "Verrucomicrobia bacterium partial 16S ribosomal RNA". It matches the Rfam family "Bacterial small subunit ribosomal RNA", at positions 355 to 776 of the family's 1533-position model. The record is from RNAcentral. Lineage: Bacteria; Pseudomonadati; Verrucomicrobiota.